GAAUAUAGCUAAGUUGGUAGAGUGCUUGCCUUGCAUGCAUAAGGCCCUGGGUUCGAUCCCCAGCACCAUUCA
This 72-nucleotide transfer RNA is filed under the name Marmota monax (woodchuck). RNAcentral's name for it is "tRNA.Ala". The stretch from base 6 to 63 matches the Rfam family "tRNA", at positions 8 to 63 of the family's 71-position model. Rfam says of the family: Transfer RNA (tRNA) molecules are approximately 80 nucleotides in length. Lineage: Eukaryota; Metazoa; Chordata; Mammalia; Rodentia; Sciuridae. The record is from RNAcentral.